UACGUAGGGUGCAGGCGUUAAUCGGAAUUACUGGGCGUAAAGCGUGCGCAGGCGGUUUGCUAAGACAGGUGUGAAAUCCCCGGGCUUAACCUGGGAACUGCGCUUGUAACUGGCAAGCUGGAGUGUGGCAGAGGGGGGUGGAAUUCCACGUGUAGCAGUGAAAUGCGUAGAGAUGUGGAGGAACACCGAUGGCGAAGGCAGCCACCUGGGCUAACACUGACGCUCAUGCACGAAAGCGUGGGGAGCAAACAGG
This 253-nucleotide ribosomal RNA is filed under the name uncultured bacterium. RNAcentral describes it as "partial 16S ribosomal RNA". It matches the Rfam family "Bacterial small subunit ribosomal RNA", at positions 524 to 776 of the family's 1533-position model. The record is from RNAcentral.